AUUGAACGCUGGCGGCAGGCCUAACACAUGCAAGUCGAGCGGAUGAAGGGAGCUUGCUCCUGGAUUCAGCGGCGGACGGGUGUGUAAUGCCUAGGAAUCUGCCUGGUAGUGGGGGAUAACGUCCGGAAACGGGCGCUAAUACCGCAUACGUCCUGAGGGAGAAAGAGGGGGAUCUUCGGACCUCACGCUAUCAGAUGAGCCUAGGUCGGAUUAGCUAGUUGGUGGGGUAAAGGCCUACCAAGGCGACGAUCCGUAGCUGGUCUGAGAGGAUGAUCAGUCACACUGGAACUGGGACACGGUCCAGACUCCUACGGGAGGCAGCAGUGGGGAAUAUUGGACAAUGGGCGAAAGCAUGAUCCAGCCAUGCCGAGUGUGUGAAGAAGGUCUUCGGAUUGUAAAGCACUUUAAGUUGGGAGGAAGGGCAGUAAGUUAAUACCUUGCUGUUUUGACGUUACCAACAGAAUAAGCACCGGCUAACUUCGUG
RNAcentral lists this ribosomal RNA (484 nucleotides) under uncultured bacterium. Its description in RNAcentral is "partial 16S ribosomal RNA". It matches the Rfam family "Bacterial small subunit ribosomal RNA", at positions 30 to 507 of the family's 1533-position model. The record is from RNAcentral.